GACGAACGCUGGCGGCGUGCUUAACACAUGCGAGUCGAACGGAAAGGCCCCUUUGGGGGUACUCGAGUGGCGAACGGGUGAGUAACACGUGAGUAACCUGCCCUUGACUUCGGGAUAACUUCAGGAAACUGGGGCUAAUACCGGAUAGGAAUCCUUGCUGCAUGGUGGGGGUUGGAAAGCUUCGGCGGUUUUGGAUGGACUCGCGGCUUAUCAGCUUGUUGGUGGGGUAGUGGCUUACCAAGGCUUUGACGGGUAGCCGGCCUGUGAGGGCGACCGGCCACAUUGGGACUGAGAUACGGCCCAGACUCCUACGGGAGGCAGCAGUGGGGAAUAUUGCACAAUGGGCGGAAGCCUGAUGCAGCAACGCCGCGUGCGGGAUGACGGCCUUCGGGUUGUAAACCGCUUUCAGCAGGGGCGAAGCUUGUGGUGACGGUACCUGCAGAAGAAGCACCGGCUAACUACGUG
RNAcentral lists this ribosomal RNA (465 nucleotides) under uncultured bacterium. RNAcentral describes it as "partial 16S ribosomal RNA". It matches the Rfam family "Bacterial small subunit ribosomal RNA", at positions 28 to 507 of the family's 1533-position model. The record is from RNAcentral.